RNAcentral lists this long non-coding RNA (602 nucleotides) under Musa acuminata (dwarf banana). RNAcentral's name for it is "long non-coding RNA (MACU_LNC011831)". The record is from RNAcentral. Lineage: Eukaryota; Viridiplantae; Streptophyta; Magnoliopsida; Zingiberales; Musaceae.
ACAAUAAGGCGAGCUUAUAGAUGUCCAGGCCUUAUCUCCAGCUCGAGCAAAGGCUAGCUUACACCAAUGGCUAUAGAUUAUCAUGAUGGCGAAGUCUUUGUCUGCAUCAGGAGCUGUCUAGUGAAUUAAUUUGAGCCAUAAAGAUAACAUGUUUUGUUCUCUUUCCGGGAUGAAGUUGAUGAUUUGUCUUUCAAAAUUACAAACAUCUCCGAUAAAUGGUAAGGUUAGCACCGAAAUGUAUUGAUCCAAAAUCGCUAAUCCUCGUUUGGAGCUGAGCAACAUAUGAAAUGUGUUCUAUGCAUUAGAGCCUGAGAUUUCCAUGAAAAUUAAUUGUGAGAGCAUGUGUGAGUAGGUUUUGCAAGCCGAUAAUGACAAAGCUGAGGCCACCUCCAGCCAAGCCACAGCCUUCUCCAACUGAGACACCACCAGCUCAACCUCAAACCGCUGAGCAGCAGCAGGUAACCGAUGGGAGCAGUCCGACACCGCCUACAACAGCUUCCGAGCCGAUGGACACUGACAAAUCGGGGGGUGAACCUGCAGCGUGAAGCGCCUCUUGAUAUUAUGAUGUGAUAGUUUAAAAGUAAUAAGGGAUCAUACAAUUU